Molecule: ribosomal RNA, 498 nt
Filed under: uncultured bacterium
Lineage: Bacteria
Description: partial 16S ribosomal RNA
Rfam family: Bacterial small subunit ribosomal RNA
Source: RNAcentral
AGCGAACGCUGGCGGCGUGCCUAACACAUGCAAGUCGAACGUGAAAAGGGAAACCUGAGUAAAGUGGCGUACGGGUGAGUAACGCGUAGGUAAUCUACCCCAGAAUCUGGAAUAACCUGCCGAAAGGCGGGCUAAUACUGGAUAGAGCGAGGGAACUCGUAAGAGAGUUUUUCGGGAUAGGGAGCCCGCAAGGGCCUUCGUUCUGGGAUGAGCCUGCGUCUCAUUAGCUAGUUGGUAAGGUAACGGCUUACCAAGGCGAUGAUGAGUAGCUGGUCUGAGAGGAUGAUCAGCCACACUGGAACUGAAACACGGUCCAGACUCCUACGGGAGGCAGCAGUGGGGAACCUUGCGCAAUGGACGAAAGUCUGACGCAGCCACGCCGCGUGAGUGAAGAAGGCCUUCGGGUUGUAAAGCUCUGUCGGAUGGGACGAACAUCUUCAUAGUGAAUAGCUAUGAGGACUGACGGUACCAUCAAAGGAAGCACCGGCUAACUCCGUG